This 253-nucleotide ribosomal RNA is filed under the name uncultured bacterium. Its description in RNAcentral is "partial 16S ribosomal RNA". It matches the Rfam family "Bacterial small subunit ribosomal RNA", at positions 524 to 776 of the family's 1533-position model. The record is from RNAcentral.
UACGUAGGUGGCAAGCGUUGUCCGGAUUUACUGGGCGUAAAGAGCGCGCAGGCGGUCGAAUAAGUCGAAUGUGAAAGCCCCCGGCUCAACUGGGGAGGGUCAUUCGAUACUGUUCGACUUGAAGGCAGGAGAGGGAAGCAGAAUUCCCGGUGUAGUGGUGAAAUGCGUAGAUAUCGGGAGGAAUACCAGUGGCGAAGGCGGCAUCCUGGACCGGUAUUGACGCUGAGGCGCGAAAGCCAGGGGAGCAAACGGG